RNAcentral lists this ribosomal RNA (2923 nucleotides) under Escherichia coli. Its description in RNAcentral is "bacterial LSU rRNA". It matches the Rfam family "Bacterial large subunit ribosomal RNA". The record is from RNAcentral. Lineage: Bacteria; Pseudomonadati; Pseudomonadota; Gammaproteobacteria; Enterobacterales; Enterobacteriaceae.
GGGUUGUGAGGUUAAGCGACUAAGCGUACACGGUGGAUGCCCUGGCAGUCAGAGGCGAUGAAGGACGUGCUAAUCUGCGAUAAGCGUCGGUGAGGUGAUAUGAACCGUUAUAACCGGCGAUUUCCGAAUGGGGAAACCCAGUGUGAUUCGUCACACUAUCAUUAACUGAAUCCAUAGGUUAAUGAGGCGAACCGGGGGAACUGAAACAUCUAAGUACCCCGAGGAAAAGAAAUCAACCGAGAUUCCCCCAGUAGCGGCGAGCGAACGGGGAGGAGCCCAGAGCCUGAAUCAGUGUGUGUGUUAGUGGAAGCGUCUGGAAAGGCGCGCGAUACAGGGUGACAGCCCCGUACACAAAAAUGCACAUGCUGUGAGCUCGAUGAGUAGGGCGGGACACGUGGUAUCCUGUCUGAAUAUGGGGGACCAUCCUCCAAGGCUAAAUACUCCUGACUGACCGAUAGUGAACCAGUACCGUGAGGGAAAGGCGAAAAGAACCCCGGCGAGGGGAGUGAAAAAGAACCUGAAACCGUGUACGUACAAGCAGUGGGAGCCUCUUAAUGGGGUGACUGCGUACCUUUUGUAUAAUGGGUCAGCGACUUAUAUUCUGUAGCAAGGUUAACCGAAUAGGGGAGCCGAAGGGAAACCGAGUCUUAACUGGGCGUUAAGUUGCAGGGUAUAGACCCGAAACCCGGUGAUCUAGCCAUGGGCAGGUUGAAGGUUGGGUAACACUAACUGGAGGACCGAACCGACUAAUGUUGAAAAAUUAGCGGAUGACUUGUGGCUGGGGGUGAAAGGCCAAUCAAACCGGGAGAUAGCUGGUUCUCCCCGAAAGCUAUUUAGGUAGCGCCUCGUGAAUUCAUCUCCGGGGGUAGAGCACUGUUUCGGCAAGGGGUCAUCCCGACUUACCAACCCGAUGCAAACUGCGAAUACCGGAGAAUGUUAUCACGGGAGACACACGGCGGGUGCUAACGUCCGUCGUGAAGAGGGAAACAACCCAGACCGCCAGCUAAGGUCCCAAAGUCAUGGUUAAGUGGGAAACGAUGUGGGAAGGCCCAGACAGCCAGGAUGUUGGCUUAGAAGCAGCCAUCAUUUAAAGAAAGCGUAAUAGCUCACUGGUCGAGUCGGCCUGCGCGGAAGAUGUAACGGGGCUAAACCAUGCACCGAAGCUGCGGCAGCGACACUGUGUGUUGUUGGGUAGGGGAGCGUUCUGUAAGCCUGUGAAGGUGGCCUGUGAGGGUUGCUGGAGGUAUCAGAAGUGCGAAUGCUGACAUAAGUAACGAUAAAGCGGGUGAAAAGCCCGCUCGCCGGAAGACCAAGGGUUCCUGUCCAACGUUAAUCGGGGCAGGGUGAGUCGACCCCUAAGGCGAGGCCGAAAGGCGUAGUCGAUGGGAAACAGGUUAAUAUUCCUGUACUUGGUGUUACUGCGAAGGGGGGACGGAGAAGGCUAUGUUGGCCGGGCGACGGUUGUCCCGGUUUAAGCGUGUAGGCUGGUUUUCCAGGCAAAUCCGGAAAACCAAGGCUGAGGCGUGAUGACGAGGCACUACGGUGCUGAAGCGACAAAUGCCCUGCUUCCAGGAAAAGCCUCUAAGCAUCAGGUAACAUCAAAUCGUACCCCAAACCGACACAGGUGGUCAGGUAGAGAAUACCAAGGCGCUUGAGAGAACUCGGGUGAAGGAACUAGGCAAAAUGGUGCCGUAACUUCGGGAGAAGGCACGCUGAUAUGUAGGUGAAGCGACUUGCUCGUGGAGCUGAAAUCAGUCGAAGAUACCAGCUGGCUGCAACUGUUUAUUAAAAACACAGCACUGUGCAAACACGAAAGUGGACGUAUACGGUGUGACGCCUGCCCGGUGCCGGAAGGUUAAUUGAUGGGGUUAGCGGUAACGCGAAGCUCUUGAUCGAAGCCCCGGUAAACGGCGGCCGUAACUAUAACGGUCCUAAGGUAGCGAAAUUCCUUGUCGGGUAAGUUCCGACCUGCACGAAUGGCGUAAUGAUGGCCAGGCUGUCUCCACCCGAGACUCAGUGAAAUUGAACUCGCUGUGAAGAUGCAGUGUACCCGCGGCAAGACGGAAAGACCCCGUGAACCUUUACUAUAGCUUGACACUGAACAUUGAGCCUUGAUGUGUAGGAUAGGUGGGAGGCUUUGAAGUGUGGACGCCAGUCUGCAUGGAGCCGACCUUGAAAUACCACCCUUUAAUGUUUGAUGUUCUAACGUGGGCCCCUAAUCGGGGUUGCGGACAGUGUCUGGUGGGUAGUUUGACUGGGGCGGUCUCCUCCUAAAGAGUAACGGAGGAGCACGAAGGUUGGCUAAUCCUGGUCGGACAUCAGGAGGUUAGUGCAAUGGCAUAAGCCAGCUUGACUGCGAGCGUGACGGCGCGAGCAGGUGCGAAAGCAGGUCAUAGUGAUCCGGUGGUUCUGAAUGGAAGGGCCAUCGCUCAACGGAUAAAAGGUACUCCGGGGAUAACAGGCUGAUACCGCCCAAGAGUUCAUAUCGACGGCGGUGUUUGGCACCUCGAUGUCGGCUCAUCACAUCCUGGGGCUGAAGUAGGUCCCAAGGGUAUGGCUGUUCGCCAUUUAAAGUGGUACGCGAGCUGGGUUUAGAACGUCGUGAGACAGUUCGGUCCCUAUCUGCCGUGGGCGCUGGAGAACUGAGGGGGGCUGCUCCUAGUACGAGAGGACCGGAGUGGACGCAUCACUGGUGUUCGGGUUGUCAUGCCAAUGGCACUGCCCGGUAGCUAAAUGCGGAAGAGAUAAGUGCUGAAAGCAUCUAAGCACGAAACUUGCCCCGAGAUGAGUUCUCCCUGACCCUUUAAGGGUCCUGAAGGAACGUUGAAGACGACGACGUUGAUAGGCCGGGUGUGUAAGCGCAGCGAUGCGUUGAGCUAACCGGUACUAAUGAACCGUGAGGCUUAACCUUACAACGCCGAAG